RNAcentral lists this ribosomal RNA (460 nucleotides) under uncultured bacterium. RNAcentral describes it as "partial 16S ribosomal RNA". It matches the Rfam family "Bacterial small subunit ribosomal RNA", at positions 338 to 795 of the family's 1533-position model. The record is from RNAcentral.
CCUACGGGAGGCAGCAGUGAGGAAUAUUGGUCAAUGGACGAGAGUCUGAACCAGCCAAGUAGCGUGAAGGAUGACUGCCCUAUGGGUUGUAAACUUCUUUUAUAUGGGAAUAAAAUGUUCCACGUGUGGGAUUUUGUAUGUACCAUAUGAAUAAGGAUCGGCUAACUCCGUGCCAGCAGCCGCGGUAAUACGGAGGAUCCGAGCGUUAUCCGGAUUUAUUGGGUUUAAAGGGAGCGUAGGUGGAUUGUUAAGUCAGUGGUGAAAGGUUGCGGCUCAACCGUAAAAUUGCAGUUGAAACUGGCAGUCUAGAGUACAGUAGAGGUGGGCGGAAUUCGUGGUGUAGCGGUGAAAUGCUUAGAUAUCACGAAGAACUCCGAUUGCGAAGGCAGCUCCCUGGACUGCAACUGACACUGAGGCUCGAAAGUGUGGGGAUCAAACGGGAUUAGAUACCCUAGUAGUC